GGGGGUGUAGCUCAGCCGGUUAGAGCGCCUGCCUGUCACGCAGGAGGCCGCGAGUUCGAGUCUCGUCAUCCCCGCCA
This 77-nucleotide transfer RNA is filed under the name Pseudomonadota bacterium. Its description in RNAcentral is "tRNA-Asp". It matches the Rfam family "tRNA". From Rfam's summary of the family: Transfer RNA (tRNA) molecules are approximately 80 nucleotides in length. Their secondary structure includes four short double-helical elements and three loops (D, anti-codon, and T loops). Further hydrogen bonds mediate the characteristic L-shaped molecular structure. tRNAs have two regions of fundamental functional importance: the anti-codon, which is responsible for specific mRNA codon recognition, and the 3' end, to which the tRNAs corresponding amino acid is attached (by aminoacyl-tRNA synthetases). tRNAs cope with the degeneracy of the genetic code in two manners: having more than one tRNA (with a specific anti-codon) for a particular amino acid; and 'wobble' base-pairing, i.e. permitting non-standard base-pairing at the 3rd anti-codon position. The record is from RNAcentral. RNAcentral also lists the same sequence under 1 other name. Lineage: Bacteria; Pseudomonadati; Pseudomonadota.